This 397-nucleotide long non-coding RNA is filed under the name Homo sapiens (human). RNAcentral's name for it is "HSALNT0294040". Lineage: Eukaryota; Metazoa; Chordata; Mammalia; Primates; Hominidae. The record is from RNAcentral.
ACUCCAAUAUAACAACACUCAGGAAUCACCUCCCACUACUGCUGGGGCAGGCGGUGGGAACAGAUGUAGAGAGGGUAAACUUUAUUACAAGGAAUGAGGAAAAUGGAACUGAUUUUGAUAAGGGCCAUUGUCAAUCAUUAGUUCACAUGACAGCCAUGAAGGCACACAAUGAGCCUCACGUAAGCAUCAGGUACUACAUUUAGGAAGAGAGAUGGUGUGAGGAUGCAGUGGCCAGAAGAGGCAGCCCAGGGAAGAUCUGAGGUGAACCCUCUGGUUGGAAAGCCUUGGCAAAUUGGAGGAAUGAAAAGAAAAAAGAGUAAAUCUACAACAAGGAUCAGCAAACUCCAGUCUACAGGCCAAAUCCAGCCUGCUGCCUGUUUAUGUCAAUAAAGUUUUA